Molecule: long non-coding RNA, 119 nt
Organism: Sphaeramia orbicularis (orbiculate cardinalfish)
Lineage: Eukaryota; Metazoa; Chordata; Actinopteri; Kurtiformes; Apogonidae
Exons: 3
Source: RefSeq, a predicted model, not a curated record
CAUUCCUUUUAUUCUGUGGGCGAAUGAAUUAGAGGAGGAUUAUUUUUCCAUAACAGUUGGUGUCAGAAGUGGGAUAGCUGAAGAUCCGCCAUGUGACACUCGAAGGCGUCGGACAGGUU